RNAcentral lists this ribosomal RNA (1530 nucleotides) under Escherichia coli. Its description in RNAcentral is "bacterial SSU rRNA". It matches the Rfam family "Bacterial small subunit ribosomal RNA". The record is from RNAcentral. RNAcentral also lists the same sequence under 5 other names. Lineage: Bacteria; Pseudomonadati; Pseudomonadota; Gammaproteobacteria; Enterobacterales; Enterobacteriaceae.
AGAGUUUGAUCAUGGCUCAGAUUGAACGCUGGCGGCAGGCCUAACACAUGCAAGUCGAACGGUAACAGGAAACAGCUUGCUGUUUCGCUGACGAGUGGCGGACGGGUGAGUAAUGUCUGGGAAACUGCCUGAUGGAGGGGGAUAACUACUGGAAACGGUAGCUAAUACCGCAUAAUGUCGCAAGACCAAAGAGGGGGACCUUCGGGCCUCUUGCCAUCGGAUGUGCCCAGAUGGGAUUAGCUAGUAGGUGGGGUAACGGCUCACCUAGGCGACGAUCCCUAGCUGGUCUGAGAGGAUGACCAGCCACACUGGAACUGAGACACGGUCCAGACUCCUACGGGAGGCAGCAGUGGGGAAUAUUGCACAAUGGGCGCAAGCCUGAUGCAGCCAUGCCGCGUGUAUGAAGAAGGCCUUCGGGUUGUAAAGUACUUUCAGCGGGGAGGAAGGGAGUAAAGUUAAUACCUUUGCUCAUUGACGUUACCCGCAGAAGAAGCACCGGCUAACUCCGUGCCAGCAGCCGCGGUAAUACGGAGGGUGCAAGCGUUAAUCGGAAUUACUGGGCGUAAAGCGCACGCAGGCGGUUUGUUAAGUCAGAUGUGAAAUCCCCGGGCUCAACCUGGGAACUGCAUCUGAUACUGGCAAGCUUGAGUCUCGUAGAGGGGGGUAGAAUUCCAGGUGUAGCGGUGAAAUGCGUAGAGAUCUGGAGGAAUACCGGUGGCGAAGGCGGCCCCCUGGACGAAGACUGACGCUCAGGUGCGAAAGCGUGGGGAGCAAACAGGAUUAGAUACCCUGGUAGUCCACGCCGUAAACGAUGUCGACUUGGAGGUUGUGCCCUUGAGGCGUGGCUUCCGGAGCUAACGCGUUAAGUCGACCGCCUGGGGAGUACGGCCGCAAGGUUAAAACUCAAAUGAAUUGACGGGGGCCCGCACAAGCGGUGGAGCAUGUGGUUUAAUUCGAUGCAACGCGAAGAACCUUACCUGGUCUUGACAUCCACGGAAGUUUUCAGAGAUGAGAAUGUGCCUUCGGGAACCGUGAGACAGGUGCUGCAUGGCUGUCGUCAGCUCGUGUUGUGAAAUGUUGGGUUAAGUCCCGCAACGAGCGCAACCCUUAUCCUUUGUUGCCAGCGGUCCGGCCGGGAACUCAAAGGAGACUGCCAGUGAUAAACUGGAGGAAGGUGGGGAUGACGUCAAGUCAUCAUGGCCCUUACGACCAGGGCUACACACGUGCUACAAUGGCGCAUACAAAGAGAAGCGACCUCGCGAGAGCAAGCGGACCUCAUAAAGUGCGUCGUAGUCCGGAUUGGAGUCUGCAACUCGACUCCAUGAAGUCGGAAUCGCUAGUAAUCGUGGAUCAGAAUGCCACGGUGAAUACGUUCCCGGGCCUUGUACACACCGCCCGUCACACCAUGGGAGUGGGUUGCAAAAGAAGUAGGUAGCUUAACCUUCGGGAGGGCGCUUACCACUUUGUGAUUCAUGACUGGGGUGAAGUCGUAACAAGGUAACCGUAGGGGAACCUGCGGUUGGAUCACCU